Molecule: ribosomal RNA, 497 nt
Filed under: uncultured bacterium
Lineage: Bacteria
Description: partial 16S ribosomal RNA
Rfam family: Bacterial small subunit ribosomal RNA
Source: RNAcentral
GAUGAACGCUGGCGGCGUGCCUAAUACAUGCAAGUCGAGCGAACAGACGAGGAGCUUGCUCCUCUGACGUUAGCGGCGGACGGGUGAGUAACACGUGGAUAACCUACCUAUAAGACUGGGAUAACUUCGGGAAACCGGAGCUAAUACUGGAUAAUAUAUUGAACCGCAUGGUUCGAUAGUGAAAGACGGUUUUGCUGUCACUUAUAGAUGGAUCCGCGCCGCAUUAGCUAGUUGGUAAGGUAACGGCUUACCAAGGCAACGAUGCGUAGCCGACCUGAGAGGGUGAUCGGCCACACUGGAACUGAGACACGGUCCAGACUCCUACGGGAGGCAGCAGUAGGGAAUCUUCCGCAAUGGGCGAAAGCCUGACGGAGCAACGCCGCGUGAGUGAUGAAGGUCUUCGGAUCGUAAAACUCUGUUAUUAGGGAAGAACAAAUGUGUAAGUAACUAUGCACGUCUUGACGGUACCUAAUCAGAAAGCCACGGCUAACUACGUG